This 322-nucleotide long non-coding RNA is filed under the name Homo sapiens (human). RNAcentral's name for it is "non-protein coding lnc-MED13-7:1". The record is from RNAcentral. Lineage: Eukaryota; Metazoa; Chordata; Mammalia; Primates; Hominidae.
AGUCCACCAACUGAGCAGUUAAUGAAAGCAGGCAGCAUAGUACAGUCCUCCAGUUAUUUCUAAAAUUUUGAUUAAUUGGUCGAUCCAUUCUUGAACAAACUAAGGAAAAUAGUUACCCCACCCCCGAAGAAAUAGAGUGAAGCUGUAAUUCCAGUCUGAAGGUGAUAUUGAUCAGAAAACAACAAAGAUGUUCUUUUCUUCACACUCCUGCAUGAUGUCCAACUCUUAUUCAAAGUCUAAUACUGUGACAUUUUUUCAAAGUCUUUUUGCCUAUGGUAUACGUAUAUUGGAAAUUCCAUGGGAUACAUGUGACCACCAUAAA